GGGCGGGGCCAGUGGAGGGGCGGAUCCCUCCAACCUGACGGCCAAACGUUUCCUAGACGUUGUCGUUACUGAUAAGAAACUACAUUUCCCAGAAUGCAGUGAGGGUAGCGACCGGGCUACACAGUAGAAACAGGGUUUCACCAUGUUGGCCAUGCUGGUCUCGAACUCCAGAACUCAAGUGAUCCGUCCGCCUCGGUCUUCCAAACUGCUGGGAUUACAGGCGUGAGCCACCGCGCCCAGCCUUUGGGGAAGUUCUUUUUACCGUCCAUCAUCCAUUGCCACCACACCUUCUGCUUACGAGUUAUUUAUAAUAAGUUUAACUAAAAGAGAACGAGAGAACAUCCCCUGAAACCCAAAGUUUGUCAUUCUAUACAGCUUUCCUGCCUGCAAAAGAGGAGGAGCAGACUCAUCCAGCAAAUCACCUAAAAAGUUUGAAGAUCAAAAAGCCUAGCUCCAGUUUCAGAUCCUUCCCCUACCUUUCUGAACACUAGUUUCUUCCUCUGAAAAACGAAAGAGGGAACGGGACCGUAGAGUGGAGUGGGCACAAGAAUCGCAAGUCCCUUCUGGCUAUGACGCUGCAAGACUCUAGGUACAGUUUAGGACUCCGGGCAUUCAGAUCCCCGGGACUUGUCAAGUUCUCCUCAUUGACAUUUUUGAUAUUUCGUGACAACACAAAUUCAUCACAUUUUUGUGCUGUGUGUUAUAUGUGGGAAGGAGAUUUUAAAAAGAUUGCCUUUUGAAGUUAUUGGAUAGCUGUGUUACAGAAGAAAACAUUGCCUUCAAGAAGUUAUUGGAUAGAUAUGUUACAGAAGAAAAGACGUUUGUUUCAUUUUUGACUUUGCAGGAAAAGAAUAUGUAACACAUCAGAAUUCUUCUCUCCUCCCUGGCCUUAGUCGAGUACCUGAGGGGCAUUAAAGCACUUCCUCCUUGCAAUCACUUACCCAGCAUAGUCCUUAAUACAGAUAUCUUCAUUGUUGAAUGAAUGAAUGAAUGUUCAUUAUGUUUGAUUACCUUAGGUUUACUUUCCAAAAGUGUCUUACUUGAGGAAGACCACAUCUACACAAAAAAAUCAAACUUUAAAACAGAGUAAGAGACCAUUCACACUACAAAUAGAUUCUCGGUUUAUAAAAGAUGUGUUAUAGUGCUCCCAUAAAUAGUGAGGCACUCUUCUGUAUCAGAUGGCACAAAUUUGAUUACAUAUAACUACUAAGUGCUUUUCCGUGGUCUGUGGUUCAUAGUGUGGGUGCCUGUGGUAUGCUAAGGUCUCUAUUUUACUGACAGCCACAGUUAAAAUAUAUUUCUUAAAACCAAAUAAACAGUCCACCAUCACCAGCCAAAUGCUAGGAGAGUGCUGACUGCUAUUUUAGCUGCUUUCUUCUAGGCAGAAUGAAAAGAAAAACAUAAGUUAACUUUAAAAGGGGAAAUAUGAUCCAUGUCAAGCUCAAUUCUGUCCAAUCAAAGCACAGAAUAUUGCUGUUGUUCCAAAAA
RNAcentral lists this long non-coding RNA (1488 nucleotides) under Homo sapiens (human). RNAcentral's name for it is "CFAP95 divergent transcript". Lineage: Eukaryota; Metazoa; Chordata; Mammalia; Primates; Hominidae. The record is from RNAcentral.